This 253-nucleotide ribosomal RNA is filed under the name uncultured bacterium. RNAcentral's name for it is "partial 16S ribosomal RNA". It matches the Rfam family "Bacterial small subunit ribosomal RNA", at positions 524 to 776 of the family's 1533-position model. The record is from RNAcentral.
UACGUAGGGGGCUAGCGUUGUCCGGAUUUAUUGGGCGUAAAGAGCGUGUAGGCGGCCAGGUAGGUCUGCUGUGAAAACUCGAGGCUCAACCUCGAGACGUCGGCGGAAACCAUCUGGCUAGAGUCCGGAAGAGGAGAGUGGAAUUCCUGGUGUAGCGGUGAAAUGCGCAGAUAUCAGGAAGAACGCCCGUGGCGAAGGCGGCUCUCUGGGACGGUACUGACGCUGAGACGCGAAAGCGUGGGGAGCGAACAGG